AUGGGUGCUGCGGGGCCCUACAAGCUGGCUCCAUCCCCAAGGCGGGGAGUUUCAGGAAGCCGAGGUGCACCCGCAGCCCCUCUGCCCGCGAGCUCAGCACGCCGAGCUGGCCCCGACACCGACGGCAGGCAGAGAGGGACCCGGGCAGCAGCUGGGAAGCGCACGGAGGAAACCUCCGUUGUUGUCUCCCGGUGCUCCAGCUGGUGCUGUGCCAGCAGGAAUGGCUGCGUGGAGAAGUGCCAGCACUUUCUAGCACGGAAGGAUGAAGGUAUCCUGAAGCGGGAUCCUUGUCAGCAGAAGCUCGGGGACCAGCACCGCAAUCUCCGCCUGCCCCGUGACCGAAACACGGCUGCAGAACGGUACCUGAGGAGUGACGGGGCACAGAGACCACAGGACAGAUCCAGGGAGCUCCAGGACGGGAGGAGAAGGGCUGUUCCCGGGGCUGGCGCGGGUCGGGCAGAGGCACCAAGAGAUCUGCAGGAGCGGGCGGCGGCGGUCCUCGCAGCGGCCUCUUGCAGCCAGGCUCCCUCAAACAGCCGAUGUGCCAGGCAGCUUGUCGGGAGGUUUGAAGCCAGAUCCGAAGAACGGUGGAUAAACACGGAAAGCCAGCUUUGGUGCUCGUGCCCUUCUAAGAUCUGCAGCUGCAGAGCGCACCCGGGCUCCCCUUCCCCCGCCCUCCGCACGCUCACCGAGACGCUCCCAGGAACGCCGCGGAGCCCACAACGCGUGCGCUUCAUCCAGCCGAAAUGUCUGAGCUGUGCCAGCAGCGGGGAGAGGCGGCAGCCCUGGCUACGGCUGCUCCGUGCUCCUCCACAAAGCAAUCUGCUGCUUGGGCUCCUCUCCGCUUCCCUCUUACGCAACUGCACAAAACGGAGAGGGAAAAAAAAAAAAAAAAAAAAAAAUCCCCUAGAUGCUAAUUUAUCUGAGGAGCUCAAGCAGGUCUGCACAAGAAGGCAGUUUCAGCAGAAAGAAGGUAAAAAAAAAUAAAUAAAUAAAAGAGGACCAGCCAUGUCUGAAAUGCUGCUUCAGAAACCCAGUGGAUGCAGCAGCCCUCCCGGCACCAGCACCGCCACCUGCCCCGUCCCGGCACCCGCUGGGAGAAGCCCAGAGCAGCAGCGGGUGCGGCAGCACCAAGCAGCCCCCCACGAGCUCGCUGAGCCCCCCCUGCCCGCUCCCAGACACCUCGGGCAACCCGGGGCACCUCGCAGCCAGCCUGCCCCCCUUUCCUGGGGCCCAGCGGCAAUUACAGGUUUAGCGGUGCAAAGCAGAGUUUAAUAGCAGCCAAGGCUGGUGGGAUUGAUUUCUUGUUUUGUUUUAAGUGCAGCUAAUCUAAUAGUUAAUUUAUUUAAAUUGAUAGGGCAGAGAGAAAUUACAUUUCUAUUUUCUCU
This 1388-nucleotide long non-coding RNA is filed under the name Cairina moschata (Muscovy duck). RNAcentral describes it as "domestica (muscovy Duck (domestic type)) lncRNA (ENSCMMG00000012939.1)". Lineage: Eukaryota; Metazoa; Chordata; Aves; Anseriformes; Anatidae. The record is from RNAcentral.